This 301-nucleotide ribosomal RNA is filed under the name uncultured bacterium. RNAcentral's name for it is "partial 16S ribosomal RNA". It matches the Rfam family "Bacterial small subunit ribosomal RNA", at positions 509 to 808 of the family's 1533-position model. The record is from RNAcentral.
CAGUAGCCGCGGUAAUACGUAGGGCGCAAGCGUUAUCCGGAAUUAUUGGGCGUAAAGAGCUCGUAGGCGGUUUGUCGCGUCUGCCGUGAAAGUCCGGGGCUCAACCCCGGAUCUGCGGUGGGUACGGGCAGACUAGAGUGAUGUAGGGGAGACUGGAAUUCCUGGUGUAGCGGUGAAAUGCGCAGAUAUCAGGAGGAACACCGAUGGCGAAGGCAGGUCUCUGGGCAUUAACUGACGCUGAGGAGCGAAAGCAUGGGGAGCGAACAGGAUUAGAUACCCCGUAGUCCCUGUCUCUUAUACA